Salvelinus fontinalis (brook trout) is the source of this 604-nucleotide long non-coding RNA. RefSeq lists it as uncharacterized. Lineage: Eukaryota; Metazoa; Chordata; Actinopteri; Salmoniformes; Salmonidae. The transcript is spliced from 2 exons. The record is from RefSeq and is a predicted model, not a curated record.
UACUUGAAAAUCUAUGGCAAGACCUGAAAAUGGUUGUCUAGGAAUGAUCAACAACCAAUUUGACAGAACUUAAAGCAUUUUGAAAAGAAUACUGGGCAAAUGUUGCACAAUCCAGGUGUAGAAAGCUCCUAUAGAUUUAACAGAAAUAGUCACAGCUUUAAUCGCUGCCAAAGGUGCUUCUACAAAGUAUUGACUUAGGGGUGUGAAUACUUAUGUAUAUUCUAUAUUAUAUUUAAUUUUCAAUACAUUUGCAAACAUUUCUAAAAAUAUGUUUUAACUUUGUUGUUAUGGGGUAUUUUGUGUAGUUGAGUGAGAGAGAAAAUAUAUUUACCACAUUUUAAAUUCAGUCUGCAACUCAACAAAAUGUGUAAAAAGUCUAGGGGUGUGAAUACUUUCUGAAGGCACUGUAUGUUAAGAUAAAUGCUCUAAUUGUAAGUCUGAUAAAUGACUCAAAUGGAAAUGUAAUAGAAAUUCAUGGUAAAUAAUAAUAGAAUACGAUAAAGCUACCUGAGUUAAAGAGUUACAACGGUUAACAGAAUCAUCUUAAAUUGGAUUAUCUUAAAUUUGUUUGUCUUUAUUAAAAUUGCAUGGCAUGCACAAGUCA